Molecule: ribosomal RNA, 424 nt
Filed under: uncultured bacterium
Lineage: Bacteria
Description: bacterial SSU rRNA
Rfam family: Bacterial small subunit ribosomal RNA
Source: RNAcentral
AUAUUGCGCAAUGGGGGCAACCCUGACGCAGCAACGCCGCGUGAGUGAAGAAGGCCUUCGGGUUGUAAAGCUCUUUAGACAGAGAAGAAGGGCGCCUUGGUUAAUAAUCCUGGCGUUUGACGGUAUCUGUAGAAUAAGCACCGGCUAACUCCGUGCCAGCAGCCGCGGUAAUACGGAGGGUGCAAGCGUUGUUCGGAAUUAUUGGGCGUAAAGCGCACGUAGGCGGGUUUGUAUGUCGAUUGUGAAAGCCCUGGGCUUAACCUGGGAAUUGCAGUCGAAACUGCAGAUCUUGAAUACCUGAGAGGGUGGGGGAAUUCCUGGUGGAGUAGUGAAAUACGUAGAGAUCAGGAGGAACACCUGAGGCGAAGGCGCCUGCCUGGCAGUGUAUUGACGCUGAGGUGCGAAAGCGUGGGGAGCAAACAGG